UACGGAGGGGGCUAGCGUUGUUCGGAAUUACUGGGCGUAAAGCGCACGUAGGCGGCUUUGUAAGUUAGAGGUGAAAGCCCGGGGCUCAACUCCGGAAUUGCCUUUAAGACUGCAUCGCUAGAAUUGUGGAGAGGUAAGUGGAAUUCCGAGUGUAGAGGUGAAAUUCGUAGAUAUUCGGAAGAACACCAGUGGCGAAGGCGACUCACUGGCCCGUUACUGACGCUCAUGCACGACAGCGUGGGGAUCAAACAGG
This 253-nucleotide ribosomal RNA is filed under the name uncultured bacterium. RNAcentral describes it as "partial 16S ribosomal RNA". It matches the Rfam family "Bacterial small subunit ribosomal RNA", at positions 524 to 776 of the family's 1533-position model. The record is from RNAcentral.